Molecule: long non-coding RNA, 634 nt
Filed under: Elaeis guineensis (African oil palm)
Lineage: Eukaryota; Viridiplantae; Streptophyta; Magnoliopsida; Arecales; Arecaceae
Description: long non-coding RNA (EGUI_LNC036723)
Source: RNAcentral
CCCAUCUUUCGACUUGAUGCACCGUUUCAAGUUUGAGGCGUAUCCAUCAAGAAACCUCACUGAUCUCAAAUAUGAAAGAAAUUGAUUUCUCUCUCUUCGAUUCAGUGUAUAACAUGCCAAUGGCUUCACCAGCCUAUCCCCUCAUCGAAUCAAAUGUAAUUUCUUUCUAAUCCGCAUAUCCUCUAAGUCAAGACGAGCCUUCACGGUAUCCUUUGUUCUUCCUUCGAUAUUAAGAAUGGUAUAAAAUAUAUUAUCAAAUAUAUUCUUUUCAAUAUGCAUGACGUCAAGAUUAUAUCGAAGAAGAAGCAUUUUCCAAUAUGGAAGAUCAAACAACUUGCUCUUUUUUCUCCAAUUUCCGAUACUUGUUCACACCCCUACUUGGCUGGCCAGACCCUUACCAAAUAUGACAUCCUGUGGGUUGGGUAACUGAUUUAAAAUAUUGUCCGUAGACCAGAAUCUUGGCUGCGCACGUCAUUCAUGCUUGCCAUUGAACUUAAGACUUCUCCUCCAUUUAUGAUCAUCUGGCAAGAAACGUCGAUGGCCGGUAAAACAAAUCUUUCCACGAAUACGGUCCAAUGUAAUAUCAUCGUUACAAGUUGGGCAUGCUUUGUACCCUUUUGUACACCAUCCAGAA